CCUACGGGUGGCAGCAGUGAGGAAUAUUGGUCAAUGGGCGCGAGCCUGAACCAGCCAAGUAGCGUGAAGGAUGACUGCCCUGCGGGUUGUAAACUUCUUUUAUAAAGGAAUAAAGUGCGGCACUCGUGCCCUUUUGUGUGUACUUUAUGAAUAAGGAUCGGCUAACUCCGUGCCAGCAGCCGCGGUAAUACGGAGGAUCCGAGCGUUAUCCGGAUUUAUUGGGUUUAAAGGGUGCGUAGGUGGGGUGUUAAGUCAGUUGUGAAAGUUUGCGGCUCAACCGUAGACUUGCAAUUGAUACUGGCAGCCUUGAGUACAGUGGAGGUAGGCGGAAUGCGUGGUGUAGCGGUGAAAUGCUUAGAUAUCACGAAGAACUCCGAUUGCGAAGGCAGCUUACUAAACUGCCACUGACAUUGAUGCUCGAAAGUGUGGGUAUCAAACAGGAUUAGAUACCCCUGUAGUC
This 460-nucleotide ribosomal RNA is filed under the name uncultured bacterium. RNAcentral's name for it is "partial 16S ribosomal RNA". It matches the Rfam family "Bacterial small subunit ribosomal RNA", at positions 338 to 795 of the family's 1533-position model. The record is from RNAcentral.